RNAcentral lists this ribosomal RNA (253 nucleotides) under uncultured bacterium. RNAcentral's name for it is "partial 16S ribosomal RNA". It matches the Rfam family "Bacterial small subunit ribosomal RNA", at positions 524 to 776 of the family's 1533-position model. The record is from RNAcentral.
UACGAAGGGGGCUAGCGUUGCUCGGAAUUACUGAGCGUAAAGGGCGCGUAGGCGGCGUUUUAAGUCGGGGGUGAAAGCCUGUGGCUCAACCACAGAAUGGCCUUCGAUACUGGGACGCUUGAGUAUGGUAGAGGUUGGUGGAACUGCGAGUGUAGAGGUGAAAUUCGUAGAUAUUCGCAAGAACACCGGUGGCGAAGGCGGCCAACUGGACCAUUACUGACGCUGAGGCGCGAAAGCGUGGGGAGCAAACAGG